ACGUAGGGUGCGAGCGUUAAUCGGAAUUACUGGGCGUAAAGCGUGCGCAGGCGGUUUUGUAAGACAGAUGUGAAAUCCCCGGGCUUAACCUGGGAACUGCGUUUGUGACUGCAAGGCUAGAGUACGGCAGAGGGGGGUGGAAUUCCUGGUGUAGCAGUGAAAUGCGUAGAUAUCAGGAGGAACACCGAUGGCGAAGGCAGCCCCCUGGGCCUGUACUGACGCUCAUGCACGAAAGCGUGGGGAGCAAACAGGAUUAGAUACCCUGGUAGUCCACGCCCUAAACGAUGUCGACUAGUCGUUCGGAGCAGCAAUGCACUGAGUGACGCAGCUAACGCGUGAAGUCGACCGCCUGGGGAGUACGGCCGCAAGGUUA
This 373-nucleotide ribosomal RNA is filed under the name uncultured bacterium. RNAcentral's name for it is "bacterial SSU rRNA". It matches the Rfam family "Bacterial small subunit ribosomal RNA", at positions 525 to 896 of the family's 1533-position model. The record is from RNAcentral.